Molecule: ribosomal RNA, 312 nt
Filed under: uncultured Ruminococcus sp.
Lineage: Bacteria; Bacillati; Bacillota; Clostridia; Eubacteriales; Oscillospiraceae
Description: bacterial SSU rRNA
Rfam family: Bacterial small subunit ribosomal RNA
Source: RNAcentral
GACGAACGCUGGCGGCGUGCCUAACACAUGCAAGUCGAACGGACGAGGGGAGCUUGCUCCCCGAGUUAGUGGCGAACGGGUGAGUAACGCGUGAGCAACCUGCCUUUCAGAGGGGGACAACGGUUGGAAACGACCGCUAAUACCGCAUGAAGCAAUCGGACCGCAUGAUCUGAUUGCCAAAGAUUUAUCGCUGAAAGAUGGGCUCGCGUCUGAUUAGAUAGUUGGUGGGGUAACGGCCCACCAAGUCGACGAUCAGUAGCCGGACUGAGAGGUUGAACGGCCACAUUGGGACUGAGAUACGGCCCAGACUCC